UAACCUACCCAUCAGAGGGGGAUAACACUUGGGAACAGGUGCUAAUACCGCAUAACAGUUUAUGCCGCAUGGCAUAAGAGUGAAAGGCGCUUUCGGGUGUCGCUGAUGGAUGGACCCGCGGUGCAUUAGCUAGUUGGUGAGGUAACGGCUCACCAAGGCCACGAUGCAUAGCCGACCUGAGAGGGUGAUCGGCCACACUGGGACUGAGACACGGCCCAG
This 219-nucleotide ribosomal RNA is filed under the name uncultured bacterium. RNAcentral describes it as "partial 16S ribosomal RNA". It matches the Rfam family "Bacterial small subunit ribosomal RNA", at positions 122 to 334 of the family's 1533-position model. The record is from RNAcentral.